AUUGCUAUGAGAGUGACUACCCAACAAUGUUGGUGUAAUGGAAGACAUUACAGUCUCAAGGAAUAAUUGGUUGAGAGUCAUGAAAGUAAGGAUGGCAUACUUCAAUGCACAAAUCAAAUUACCUGGAUAAAUGGGAAAUAAUACUCCCAGGGAAAACAGAUUCUUUCUCAAGAGGGAGCAAGUGGAUAACUGCUUUAGAAUACAAAGGAGAGGAGGAUGGACUACAUGUUAAUUGCUGCAACAAGCUAAUUAUGCCAAGUGCUUGUACACAAGCAAAAGUUAUCUGCUAUCCUCUAUCCCUCUUAUGUUCAUCUGUCUUUCCUUAUCUGUGUUCUUUUUUUUUUCCCCUCUCGCCAUUUGGUGGCAUAUUCAUUUUUCAAUCACUUUACCUUGGCAUCACUAACAAACCUUACUCUUUUUAUUUUCUCCCACAUCCAGGCUGUUCAUGCAACACAUUUCAAAAUUUUGUUAUUUCUUCCUGUUCCUGUCUUUAA
RNAcentral lists this long non-coding RNA (494 nucleotides) under Canis lupus familiaris (dog). RNAcentral's name for it is "lncRNA (ENSCAFG00000047324.2)". Lineage: Eukaryota; Metazoa; Chordata; Mammalia; Carnivora; Canidae. The record is from RNAcentral.